This 440-nucleotide ribosomal RNA is filed under the name uncultured Pseudomonas sp. RNAcentral's name for it is "bacterial SSU rRNA". It matches the Rfam family "Bacterial small subunit ribosomal RNA", at positions 358 to 790 of the family's 1533-position model. The record is from RNAcentral. Lineage: Bacteria; Pseudomonadati; Pseudomonadota; Gammaproteobacteria; Pseudomonadales; Pseudomonadaceae.
GGAAUAUUGGACAAUGGGCGAAAGCCUGAUCCAGCCAUGCCGCGUGUGUGAAGAAGGUCUUCGGAUUGUAAAGCACUUUAAGUUGGGAGGAAGGGCAGUUACCUAAUACGUAUCUGUUUUGACGUUACCGACAGAAUAAGCACCGGCUAACUCUGUGCCAGCAGCCGCGGUAAUACAGAGGGUGCAAGCGUUAAUCGGAAUUACUGGGCGUAAAGCGCGCGUAGGUGGUUUGUUAAGUUGGAUGUGAAAUCCCCGGGCUCAACCUGGGAACUGCAUUCAAAACUGACAAGCUAGAGUAUGGUAGAGGGUGGUGGAAUUUCCUGUGUAGCGGUGAAAUGCGUAGAUAUAGGAAGGAACACCAGUGGCGAAGGCGACCACCUGGACUGAUACUGACACUGAGGUGCGAAAGCGUGGGGAGCAAACAGGAUUAGAUACCCCAG